AUACGUAGGUGGCGAGCGUUAUCCGGAUUUACUGGGUGUAAAGGGUGUGUAGGCGGGUUGUUAAGUCAGAUGUGAAAUGCCGUGGCUUAACCACGGCACUGCAUCAGAAACUGGCAAUCUUGAGGGUGGGAGAGGUAAGCGGAAUUCCUGGUGUAGCGGUGAAAUGCGUAGAUAUCAGGAGGAACACCGGUGGCGAAGGCGGCUUACUGGACCACAACUGACGCUGAUACACGAAAGCGUGGGGAGC
RNAcentral lists this ribosomal RNA (247 nucleotides) under uncultured bacterium. RNAcentral's name for it is "partial 16S ribosomal RNA". It matches the Rfam family "Bacterial small subunit ribosomal RNA", at positions 523 to 769 of the family's 1533-position model. The record is from RNAcentral.